RNAcentral lists this unclassified non-coding RNA (178 nucleotides) under uncultured fungus. RNAcentral's name for it is "partial contains 18S rRNA, ITS1, 5.8S rRNA, ITS2 and 28S rRNA". Lineage: Eukaryota; Fungi. The record is from RNAcentral.
AAGGAUCAUUAUCGUGGGGAUUCGUCCCUAUCGAGAUAGCACCCUUUGUCUAUGAGAACCUUCUGUUUCCUCGGCGGGUUACGCCCGCCAAUGGGGACCCUUUAAACCCUUUGCAGUAGCAGUAAACUUCUGAUAUAAAUAAAUAUUAAAACUUUCAACAACGGAUCUCUUGGUUCUG